Long non-coding RNA from Helianthus annuus (common sunflower), 111 nucleotides. RefSeq lists it as uncharacterized. Lineage: Eukaryota; Viridiplantae; Streptophyta; Magnoliopsida; Asterales; Asteraceae. The record is from RefSeq and is a predicted model, not a curated record. The transcript has 3 exons.
UGAUUAUGGCUGAUGGCAUUACCACCCUCUGCAAUGAUCUUCAGGUGGAUCCUCAAGAUAUUGUUAUGUUAGUUGUUUCAUGGCACAUGAAGGCUGCUACCAUGUGCUAAU